Molecule: non-coding RNA, 235 nt
Filed under: Clostridium sp.
Lineage: Bacteria; Bacillati; Bacillota; Clostridia; Eubacteriales; Clostridiaceae
Description: T-box sequence
Rfam family: T-box leader
About the family: Uncharged tRNA acts as the effector for transcription antitermination of genes in the T-box leader family. T-boxes are found upstream of many aminoacyl-tRNA synthetase genes and some amino acid biosynthetic genes usually in Gram-positive bacteria.
Source: RNAcentral
AAAAAGGUUAUGAGUGGAAAUAGUAGAAACUAUUUGAUUACUACAGAGAGCCGUGGUUGCUGAGAAACGGUGUAUUCACUAGUUUUGAACUCAUCCAUGAACUGCUGUCCGAAUUGUAGUAGGGCUUGACGGUAUUCUACCGUUAAAAAGAUAGAUGGUGUUAGCCAUUGAAAGAGGGAAUUCUGUUAUAGAAUUAAAUUGAGUGGUACCGCGGGUUUAUAUACUCGUCUCUAUU